Molecule: ribosomal RNA, 335 nt
Filed under: Bioculus caboensis
Lineage: Eukaryota; Metazoa; Arthropoda; Arachnida; Scorpiones; Diplocentridae
Description: partial 12S ribosomal RNA
Source: RNAcentral
AAAAAUAUUAUAAAUUAAGUAGUAAAGAAAUUUCUGAAACUUAAAGAAUUUGGCGGUGUUUUAAAUAAUUGGAGGAACCUGUUAUUUAAUUGAAAAUCCACAACACAUCUUACCUUAUUUUUGUUUGUAUAUCGUCAUUCUCAGAUUAUAUUUAAAAAUCUAUAAUCAAAUUCAAUUGCAUUUCAAACAUUAGAUCAAGGUGCAGCAUAAUAAGGUUAUAAUGGGUUACAAUAUUUUCAAAAUACACGAACAGAAAAAAAAAUAAUCUUCUUGAAGGAGGAUUCAAAAGUAACUUGGAAGUAAAGAAUCCAUCUGAAUUAAAACCUAAAACAUGC